CGUGCCCAGUCGUGGGGGAUAACGCAGUGAAAGCUGUGCUAAUACCGCAUACGAUCUCUGGAUGAAAGCGGGGGACUCGCAAGAGCCUCGCGCGAUUGGAGCGGCCGAUAUCAGAUUAGCUAGUUGGCGGGGUAAAAGCCCACCAAGGCGACGAUCUGUAGCUGGUCUGAGAGGACGACCAGCCACACUGGAACUGAGACACGGUCCAG
RNAcentral lists this ribosomal RNA (209 nucleotides) under uncultured bacterium. Its description in RNAcentral is "partial 16S ribosomal RNA". It matches the Rfam family "Bacterial small subunit ribosomal RNA", at positions 125 to 334 of the family's 1533-position model. The record is from RNAcentral.